GGGCUUGACAUCCCACGAACCUGCCCGAAAAGGUGGGGUGCCCGCAAGGGAGCGUGGAGACAGGUGGUGCAUGGCUGUCGUCAGCUCGUGUCGUGAGAUGUUGGGUUAAGUCCCGCAACGAGCGCAACCCUCACCCCUAGUUGCCACCGGGUUAAGCCGAGCACUCAAGGGGAACUGCCAGCGUCAAGCUGGAGAAAGGCGGGGAUGACGUCAAGUCAUCAUGCCCCUUACGCCCUGGGCUACACACGUGCUACAAUGGCCAGUACAAAGGGAUGCGAGACUGCGAAGUGGAGCUAAUCCCAAAAAGCUGGUCUAAGUUCAGAUUGCAGUCUGCAACUCGACUGCAUGAAGGAGGAAUCGCUAGUAAUCGCGUAUCAGCCCGGCGCGGUGAAUACGUUCCCGGGCCUUGUACACACCGCCCGUCACACCACGAAAGCUGUCUGUACUCGAAGUCGCUGAG
RNAcentral lists this ribosomal RNA (460 nucleotides) under NC10 bacterium enrichment culture. Its description in RNAcentral is "bacterial SSU rRNA". It matches the Rfam family "Bacterial small subunit ribosomal RNA", at positions 977 to 1434 of the family's 1533-position model. The record is from RNAcentral. Lineage: Bacteria; Methylomirabilota (SeqCode).